CCUACGGGAGACUGCAGUGAGGAAUAUUGGUCAAUGGACGAGAGUCUGAACCAGCCAAGUAGCGUGAAGGAUGACUGCCCUAUGGGUUGUAAACUUCUUUUAUAUGGGAAUAAACUGUUCCACGUGUGGGAUUUUGUAUGUACCCUAUGAAUAAGGAUCGGCUAACUCCGUGCCAGCAGCCGCGGUAAUACGGAGGAUCCGAGCGUUAUCCGGAUUUAUUGGGUUUAAAGGGAGCGUAGGUGGAUUGUUAAGUCAGUUGUGAAAGUUUGCGGCUCAACCGUAAAAUUGCAGUUGAAACUGGCAGGCUUGAGUACAGUAGAGGUGGGCGGAAUGCGUGGUGUAGCGGUGAAAUGCUUAGAUAUCACGAAGAACUCCGAUUGCGAAGGCAGCUCACUGGACUGCAACUGACACUGAGGCUCGAAAGUGUGGGUAUCAAACAGGAUUAGAUACCCCUGUAGUC
Molecule: ribosomal RNA, 460 nt
Filed under: uncultured bacterium
Lineage: Bacteria
Description: partial 16S ribosomal RNA
Rfam family: Bacterial small subunit ribosomal RNA
Source: RNAcentral